UACGAAGGGGGCUAGCGUUGCUCGGAAUCACUGGGCGUAAAGGGUGCGUAGGCGGGUUUUUAAGUCAGGGGUGAAAUCCUGGAGCUCAACUCCAGAACUGCCUUUGAUACUGAAGAUCUUGAGUCCGGGAGAGGUGAGUGGAACUGCGAGUGUAGAGGUGAAAUUCGUAGAUAUUCGCAAGAACACCAGUGGCGAAGGCGGCUCACUGGCCCGGUACUGACGCUGAGGCACGAUAGCGUGGGGAGCAAACAGG
RNAcentral lists this ribosomal RNA (253 nucleotides) under uncultured bacterium. RNAcentral describes it as "partial 16S ribosomal RNA". It matches the Rfam family "Bacterial small subunit ribosomal RNA", at positions 524 to 776 of the family's 1533-position model. The record is from RNAcentral.